RNAcentral lists this ribosomal RNA (1014 nucleotides) under Curtobacterium sp. RNAcentral describes it as "bacterial SSU rRNA". It matches the Rfam family "Bacterial small subunit ribosomal RNA", at positions 554 to 1533 of the family's 1533-position model. The record is from RNAcentral. Lineage: Bacteria; Bacillati; Actinomycetota; Actinomycetes; Micrococcales; Microbacteriaceae.
UUGGGCGUAAGAGCUCGUAGGCGGUUUGUCGCGUCUGCUGUGAAAUCCCGAGGCUCAACCUCGGGCUUGCAGUGGGUACGGGCAGACUAGAGUGCGGUAGGGGAGAUUGGAAUUCCUGGUGUAGCGGUGGAAUGCGCAGAUAUCAGGAGGAACACCGAUGGCGAAGGCAGAUCUCUGGGCCGUAACUGACGCUGAGGAGCGAAAGCAUGGGGAGCGAACAGGAUUAGAUACCCUGGUAGUCCAUGCCGUAAACGUUGGGCGCUAGAUGUAGGGACCUUUCCACGGUUUCUGUGUCGUAGCUAACGCAUUAAGCGCCCCGCCUGGGGAGUACGGCCGCAAGGCUAAAACUCAAAGGAAUUGACGGGGGCCCGCACAAGCGGCGGAGCAUGCGGAUUAAUUCGAUGCAACGCGAAGAACCUUACCAAGGCUUGACAUACACCGGAAACGGCCAGAGAUGGUCGCCCCCUUGUGGUCGGUGUACAGGUGGUGCAUGGUUGUCGUCAGCUCGUGUCGUGAGAUGUUGGGUUAAGUCCCGCAACGAGCGCAACCCUCGUUCUAUGUUGCCAGCGGGUUAUGCCGGGGACUCAUAGGAGACUGCCGGGGUCAACUCGGAGGAAGGUGGGGAUGACGUCAAAUCAUCAUGCCCCUUAUGUCUUGGGCUUCACGCAUGCUACAAUGGCCGGUACAAAGGGCUGCGAUACCGUAAGGUGGAGCGAAUCCCAAAAAGCCGGUCUCAGUUCGGAUUGAGGUCUGCAACUCGACCUCAUGAAGUCGGAGUCGCUAGUAAUCGCAGAUCAGCAACGCUGCGGUGAAUACGUUCCCGGGCCUUGUACACACCGCCCGUCAAGUCAUGAAAGUCGGUAACACCCGAAGCCGGUGGCUAACCCUUGUGGAAGGAGCCGUCGAUGUGGGAUCGGUGAUAGACGAGUCGUACAGGGGUACCGAUACACGUCGACGUUCCUUCACAGGUAGGCACGCUUCGGGUGUUACCGACUUCAUGACUUGACGGGCGGG